This 813-nucleotide ribosomal RNA is filed under the name Triticum aestivum (bread wheat). RNAcentral's name for it is "partial small subunit ribosomal RNA". Lineage: Eukaryota; Viridiplantae; Streptophyta; Magnoliopsida; Poales; Poaceae. The record is from RNAcentral.
CAGGCAAGGGAAGCUAGAGAGCCAGCAAAGUGCACAGCAAAGGGUUAUGGGAUAGAGCUGCAUUUGCACCUGCACCUAGAGAGGAAGAAAGGUCGAGGGCUUGGAACUUGGCCAUGCAUGCGAUUGCGAUGCAUGCAACGUUCUCCUUGACCCUCUCGCUCUUCCUGUAGGUGCAGUGGCAUAUGCAACUCUAUCACAGGCAUCCUAGGUACACAUCACUCGUCACACAUUCUCCCCAUCUUCUUGCUUUUGGCUACAUCAGAAGCUCAAGGUGUCUUUAUGCAAGUAGCUCGUCCAGCUUCAGCUUGGAUCGAUAAUAGGUGAAGAAGAAUGGCGUGAUAUGGCUGCAUUUGCACCUGCACCUGCGACGAAGAACAAAGGAAACGCUUUUUGUCCUCCUCAAGUUGCUAGGUGCAGUGGCACAUGCAGCCGUAUCACAUGAAUUUUCUGAACACAAGUUGAAGUUACUUCAGUUGUUUUGCCUUCUUUUUUACCCGUCCUGCUGGACUCGUAACUAUGUAAAUGAUGUAUUCUUGGCAACUGCCGAUUUUCUUGAAUAUCAGAGCCUCAUAGGCAACUAGGGAUGCUAGCAUGAACACAUGAUUUUCCCCAAGACAAGUUAAGGAUCCAUUUGAUUGAAUUUUUCUAAAGGAAAUUUUGCAGGAUUAUUCUAACUUUUAGGAAUUUUUUCCCUAUAUGUGGGUUGCUUGAUUUGUACGUACGAUUGAAAUCCAUAAGAUGUUUGCCAUGUGACUCAUUUGCGCUAGAGGCCCCUUGGAUUCUAAAUAUUAUAGGAUUUUGGUAGAAUUACAG